GGGGAUAUAGCUCAGUUGGUAGAGUCUUGCCUCAUGUGCACAAGGCCCUGGGUUCAAUCCCCAGUACCACCA
Molecule: transfer RNA, 72 nt
Filed under: Ictidomys tridecemlineatus (thirteen-lined ground squirrel)
Lineage: Eukaryota; Metazoa; Chordata; Mammalia; Rodentia; Sciuridae
Description: Spermophilus tridecemlineatus (thirteen-lined ground squirrel) tRNA
Rfam family: tRNA
About the family: Transfer RNA (tRNA) molecules are approximately 80 nucleotides in length. Their secondary structure includes four short double-helical elements and three loops (D, anti-codon, and T loops).
Source: Rfam by way of RNAcentral